This is a long non-coding RNA of Trichomycterus rosablanca, 1471 nucleotides long. RefSeq lists it as uncharacterized. The record is from RefSeq and is a predicted model, not a curated record. The transcript has 5 exons. Lineage: Eukaryota; Metazoa; Chordata; Actinopteri; Siluriformes; Trichomycteridae.
AUCAAAAAAGUAUUUAAGUAUAUCUUUGUUUAGGCUUAUAAAUACAUAAUACCAAGUCAUGUACACGUACAUGUUGUGUGUAAAAUUAGAGCCAAUACAUGUACAUGUAUUAGACAAAAUAAUAAACCGCACGGACAGCAAGAAGGUCCUGGGUUCGAUUCCCAGGUUGAGCAGUCCAGGUCCUUUCUGUGUGGGUUUCCUCCGGGUGCUCCAGAUGCCUCCAACAGUUCAAAGACAUGCAGUCAGGCUAAUUGGAGAAUCCAGCACCCACUCUACCAACUGUGCCACCAUGCCGCUUUUAAGACACAUAAUUGUAGAUAAAUAAACAUAAACAGUGUUGAAAAGCAGAUAAAAAAUCUGUGGUGAUGUCCUCUGGUACCUCUGGUUCUAUAAUGCUAUCUCAAGCAAGGUGUUUGUUUCUGUCUGACAAGGCUGGAGGUUGGCGCAGGAGUCCACCAUGUUUGUGUUUUAAAAAAUGCAGGGCUCUUGGUCUAUUACUGACCGGGCAGCCGCAAACAAGAGAGCCGUGACUAACACCCCCCACCUCCCUUGUCACGUGUGCAGUAGCCGGCCGCAUCUUUUCACCUGCACCAAGUGGGUUCUUAUGGAGAUCCGAAGCACGCACUGAGAGUCACGCACCGAUCUCCAGCAGAUCAGCCAGCAGAGAUACAGAUGUUCCAGCUUGACGAGCGGCGAGAGGACGUUGGCGCGCAGCGAGGUUAUCUGGUUAUUCUGCAGGUUGAGUUGGCGCAGACUCCUCAGGCCCUGCAGCGUGGACUCCUGCAGCGUGUGGAUCCUGUUGUGGCCCAGGUGGAGGAUCUCCAGGCUGGAGGGGAGGCCACGGGGAACACCACGCAGCUUGUUCUUCUGGAGGUCUAGAGUUCGUAAUGACCUCUGAGACCUGAAGGCGUUGGCGUCAAGCUGCUCCACUCCACACGAGGUUGAGCCUCCUCAUGCCGUGAGGGAUCCCCGAGGGCACCGCCUGCACCCUAAAACACUGCACAGAGGCGCCCUGCUCACACACACACUUCUCCGGACAGGCGCGAUGGCAGAAGGAGCUGAGAGGGUACAGCAGGGUGUACAAGAGAACCAGCAGCAUCAUGUAGGCAUGACCGGGGGCACCAGAGUGGUGAAGCUGGAACCACACUGAGGUUUAAGUAAGCGGCCGGCUGUUUGGGAGUGAGAAUGUCGUGUCAGCAGAAACAGCAGAGAAGGAAAGAAGAACAGAAGGUCCUUCCCCAUCGUCCCUCCCCAUCGUCCCUCCCCAUCGUCCCUCCCCAUCGUCCUUCUCCAUCCUUCUGUCCAUCCUGUGAGGACAAUGUGCUGAUUAUAACUCCACAAGCAAAACAGGAUGGCAGAACAGAACUACCACAGAGAGAAAUGCAGACUCCACAUUUCCAAGAACAUUACCUAACAAACGGAUUAAAAUCAGACAUGAGAGACGGAACUUAAAUAAUAAAUAACAUGAAUG